UACGUAGGGGGCGAGCGUUGUCCGGAUUUAUUGGGCGUAAAGAGCUCGUAGGCGGUCUGUCGCGUCGGAUGUGAAAACCCAGGGCUCAACCCUGGGCCUGCAUUCGAUACGGGCAGACUAGAGUUCGGUAGGGGAGACUGGAAUUCCUGGUGUAGCGGUGAAAUGCGCAGAUAUCAGGAGGAACACCGGUGGCGAAGGCGGGUCUCUGGGCCGAAACUGACGCUGAGGAGCGAAAGCGUGGGGAGCAAACAGG
This 253-nucleotide ribosomal RNA is filed under the name uncultured bacterium. RNAcentral's name for it is "partial 16S ribosomal RNA". It matches the Rfam family "Bacterial small subunit ribosomal RNA", at positions 524 to 776 of the family's 1533-position model. The record is from RNAcentral.